CUACGGGAGGCAGCAGUAGGGAAUAUUGGACAAUGGGCGCAAGCCUGAUCCAGCCAUGCCGCGUGAGUGAAGAAGGCCCUCGGGUUGUAAAGCUCUUUUGUUGGGGAAGAAAAGCAGUUGGUUAAUACCCGAUUGUUCUGACGGUACCCAAAGAAUAAGCACCGGCUAACUUCGUGCCAGCAGCCGCGGUAAUACGAAGGGUGCAAGCGUUACUCGGAAUUACUGGGCGUAAAGCGUGCGUAGGUGGUUGUUUAAGUCUGAUGUGAAAGCCCUGGGCUCAACCUGGGAAUGGCAUUGGAUACUGGAUAGCUAGAGUGCGGUAGAGGGUAGUGGAAUUCCCGGUGUAGCAGUGAAAUGCGUAGAGAUCGGGAGGAACAUCCGUGGCGAAGGCGACUACCUGGGCCAGCACUGACACUGAGGCACGAAAGCGUGGGGAGCAAACAGGAUUAGAUACCCUGGUAGUCCACGCCCUAAACGAUGCGAACUGGAUGUUGGGCUCAACUUGGAGCUCAGUAUCGAAGCUAACGCGUUAAGUUCGCCGCCUGGGGAGUACGGUCGCAAGACUGAAACUCAAAGGAAUUGACGG
This 586-nucleotide ribosomal RNA is filed under the name uncultured bacterium. RNAcentral's name for it is "bacterial SSU rRNA". It matches the Rfam family "Bacterial small subunit ribosomal RNA", at positions 339 to 916 of the family's 1533-position model. The record is from RNAcentral.